Molecule: small nucleolar RNA, 84 nt
Filed under: Nelumbo nucifera (sacred lotus)
Lineage: Eukaryota; Viridiplantae; Streptophyta; Magnoliopsida; Proteales; Nelumbonaceae
Description: Small nucleolar RNA U54
Rfam family: Small nucleolar RNA U54
About the family: U54 is a C/D box small nucleolar RNA, which acts as a methylation guide for 18S ribosomal RNA in plants.
Source: Rfam by way of RNAcentral
GGCUCGAUGAUUGCAAGCCUCAAUUUGGCAGUAUACGCUAUUCUGAAUAUUUCAAUUGGCUGAGAACUAAUUAUUAUGAGAGCU